GAACGCCCCUGUAAUUGAUGUGAACACAGAUGAUGAGGUUGUUCAGUUUAUUGAUAAAUAUGUUUCAUGUGAACUACCUAAUAACACUGAUGAUUUACAUGAGGUUGUUUCUUCAGUGCAGCAGCAUUCAAAGCGACACUCCAAAACUUGUAAAAAAGGUGGAAAACAGUGCCGCUUCAAUUUUCCGAAACCAGUGUCCGCUAGGACUUUCAUUUCCAGGGCGUAUAAGGAGGUUGAGAUGGAGUGCGUGUGUCAACGCAACGUCCAUAACGUGGUAGAACAGUGCACUUGUGGCAAGGAAGAAAAUGAAAAGAAGCAGAAGCAGGAAGGGGAAUUCGCUGUUAAGGUUUUUGAAUUAAUAGCUAAAGCGUUGUCAGACGAGAACUGCACAAUUCAAACUGCAAAUGAGCUAUUUGCGAGUAUAGGUAUACGACAGGAGACAUUUGAGGCAGCAUACAGGAGGUUAGGGAAAAAGACAGAGGUGAUAAUGCGACGCCAGGUUUGUGAUACGUGGAUCAACCCACAUUCCAAGGCUCUGUUGAAAGCUUGGAAUGCAAACAUGGACAUCCAGUAUGUGACCGAUGCUUAUGCUUGUGUAGUCUACAUCAUUUCCUACAUCUCUAAAGCAGAGAGAGAGAUGGGAUUGAUGUUGGCAAAUGCACAGCGGGAAGCAUCCAAAGAAGACAACCUCAGUGCCAAGCAGGCUUUGAAAAAGCUAGGCAGUGUUUACCUUCACAACCGAGAUGUUGGAGCUCAGGAGGCAGUCUACAAGCUCAGCAACAUGCACUUAAAAGAGUGCUCUCGGAAGGUGGUUUUUGUACCAACAGGUGACAAUGUUGUCAGGAUCAGCAAGCCAUUGACUGUGUUAAAAGACA
Molecule: non-coding RNA, 875 nt
Organism: Xyrichtys novacula (pearly razorfish)
Lineage: Eukaryota; Metazoa; Chordata; Actinopteri; Labriformes; Labridae
Source: the annotation of a GenBank genome assembly